CAGCCGCCGCGGUAAUACGGAGGGUGCAAGCGUUAAUCGGAAUUACUGGGCGUAAAGCGUGCGUAGGCGGUUUGUUAAGUCUGUUGUGAAAUCCCCGGGCUCAACCUGGGAAUGGCAAUGGAUACUGGCAAGCUAGAGUGUGUCAGAGGAUGGUGGAAUUCCCGGUGUAGCGGUGAAGUGCGUAGAGAUCGGGAGGAACAUCAGUGGCGAAGGCGGCCAUCUGGGACAACACUGACGCUGAGGCACGAAAGCGUGGGGAGCAAACAGGAUUAGAUACCCGAGUAGUCCCUGUCUCUUAUAC
RNAcentral lists this ribosomal RNA (301 nucleotides) under uncultured bacterium. RNAcentral's name for it is "partial 16S ribosomal RNA". It matches the Rfam family "Bacterial small subunit ribosomal RNA", at positions 509 to 807 of the family's 1533-position model. The record is from RNAcentral.